Molecule: long non-coding RNA, 875 nt
Organism: Physella acuta
Lineage: Eukaryota; Metazoa; Mollusca; Gastropoda; Physidae
Source: RefSeq, a predicted model, not a curated record
CAGAUCACUUCUAAUGGCAACAAUUGUUAUACAACUUGUUUAGCGUAGGGGCUUACUCAGUGUUGCUUUUUUUUUAAUCAAUCAGCAGUAAUUAACUUAUUCUAAUCACAUUUCGCUCUCUUAAAAAGUGAUACAAAUUGGAAGACCGUGUUUGGCAUAGUGUUUAAUUACUUGAUUAUAAACUAUCUUAAAAGUAACGUUUAAAAAACAUAUAUCACUAUGUAGCUCUAGAUAUUGACUAGCUACGUCCAAGUAAGGUUACUCUAAUGGCUGCACGGCGGCGCACCGCCUUAGAGGAUCACCAGGACAUAACUGAUGUCAUGAACUCAUGUACUCACUCCAUCGCUACUGAUGUGGAUUUUCGUUACUUAAGACCACACUUAGUCCCAAUAUUUUCUAGAAACGUGCUUAGUAUGGCAGAGGGUUCUGGCAGGUCAUCUUUUGAAAUUAUGACUCGAAUAUGUGAUGAUGCUAAAAAACUGUCCAUGGAAGACUUUAUAAAAUUUGUAAUUGCAUUAAAAGAUGAGUACAAAGAUGUGGCUGACGUUGUAUGCCAGAAGUACCGAGAAAAAACUGGGCAAAAUUUAAUUCCAGAUUGACGAAGAAGAAGAUAUAGAUAUUCAAGGCUACGCGUAAAACAGACAUAUUCUGAUACAUUUUUGUACACUUAAAAUAUGUCUAGCUGCAUAAUUAUUUGGCUUAAAUUAUUAUAGUUUCACAUUAGCAAAUUUAUCUUUUUAUAUUAUUCUGUAUAUUUUUUAAAGCACAUUUUUUUACACGUUACAAUACUAAAUGUUAGACCUACUAUAAUAAUUAUAUUAAAUAACAUUGUAAACUAUAUUUUCCAUGAAUCUGAAAUAAAUGUUGCAUAUUAU